GACGAACGCUGGCGGCGUGCUUAACACAUGCAAGUCGAACGGAAAGGCCCUGCUUGCAGGGUACUCGAGUGGCGAACGGGUGAGUAACACGUGGGUGAUCUGCCCUGCACUUCGGGAUAAGCCUGGGAAACUGGGUCUAAUACCGGAUAGGAGCCAUUUUUAGUGUGAUGGUUGGAAAGUUUUUUCGGUGUAGGAUGAGCUCGCGGCCUAUCAGCUUGUUGGUGGGGUAAUGGCCUACCAAGGCGGCGACGGGUAGCCGGCCUGAGAGGGUGGACGGCCACAUUGGGACUGAGAUACGGCCCCGACUCCUACGGGAGGCAGCAGUGGCGAAUAUUGCACAAUGGGCGCAAGCCUGAUGCUGCGCCGCCGCGUGCGGGAUGACGGCCUUCGGGUUGUAAACUCCUUUCGCUAGGGACCAAGCUUUUUGUGACGGUACCUAGAUAAGAAGCACCGGCUAACUACGUG
Molecule: ribosomal RNA, 465 nt
Filed under: uncultured bacterium
Lineage: Bacteria
Description: partial 16S ribosomal RNA
Rfam family: Bacterial small subunit ribosomal RNA
Source: RNAcentral